GUAGGAGGCAAGCGUUAUCCGGAUUUAUUGGGCAUAAAGAGGGCGUAGGCGGCCUUUUAAGUCGGAUGUGAAAUCUCCCGGCUCAACUGGGAGGGACCAUUCGAUACUGUUGGGCUUGAGGGCAGCAGAGGGAGAUGGAAUUCCCGGUGUAGUGGUGAAAUGCGUAGAUAUCGGGAGGAACACCAGUGGCGAAGGCGAUCUCCUGGGCUGUUCCUGACACUGAGGCGCGAAAGCGUGGGGAGCGAACAGGAUUAGAUACCCCGGUAGUCCUAGCCGUAAACGAUGGGCACUAGAUGUUUCCCGCUUCUAGCGGGGGUGUCGAAGCUAACGCAUUAAGUGCCCCGCCUGGGGAGCACGGUCGCAAGGCUG
RNAcentral lists this ribosomal RNA (369 nucleotides) under uncultured organism. Its description in RNAcentral is "partial 16S ribosomal RNA". It matches the Rfam family "Bacterial small subunit ribosomal RNA", at positions 527 to 896 of the family's 1533-position model. The record is from RNAcentral.